Molecule: long non-coding RNA, 4463 nt
Organism: Cavia porcellus (domestic guinea pig)
Lineage: Eukaryota; Metazoa; Chordata; Mammalia; Rodentia; Caviidae
Exons: 2
Source: RefSeq, a predicted model, not a curated record
GGCGCUCACCCGAAGCUCGCAGCUGCCCGGCGCUCAGCCUUUGGGGGGCAGCCCCUUCUCCAGACUCGAUGACAGCCCAAGGGCGCCUCACGCAUCUGUUGCUUCGCUGCAGGGAGAAGCCGGUGUAGGGGCACAAAAAAAGAGACAGGUUAGAGUCGUCGCGCGCCUCCGGGCUCCGCGGGAACGCGCACAGCCUCUGCCACCUCCUGCCGCGUUUACGUUUGGUAAAGCCGAAGAGACCCUCUCCGAGAGGGGUCGAUCGCAAGGGACGCUACACGUCCCCCGCCCUAGGUUGGGCUCUUCCCAGCCCACCGCACCCCGCAAACCUACGGCCCCCCUACACACCCGCGGACAUUGUCACUGCCCCCAUCACACAGUCCCCCCACCCACAUGCUCAAAAGCAUGCACACGCGCACGGACGCACGCCACACAAUCGACCCUCCCAGGUUGGAAUUAUCCGUCAUCCUGAAAUAAUAGCGUCGAUGUGUCGCGCUCCUGCUAUGUUCACAUGCAUUUUCACAAGCACACCUUUGCAGGCACGCUCGUCCCGUGCGUUUCGCACCCGCAAUCCAUUCAUUGCUCACUCACCCUCGCGCGCCCGUCCCGCCAGCUCCCGCGAGCUUCGCUGCUAAUUGAAUGCAAGCCGCUUUUACACCCCACAACACGUGAGACCAACCAUCUUUGAGGAAUUUAGGGGCAGACAAGGCGCACAACGGAAAAGGGGGGGGGGGGCGUGUCUCUGCCCUGAAAUACUUUUUGCAAAUACAGCGGGUGGCACAGAAAGACCUCCAGCGGACCGCAGGGGCCGCGCGCAGCCUGGCUCGCGCGCACGGUUCCCUUCCGCAACCCCUGCUAGCCGCCUCCUCCCCGAAGCCACGUUCAACACUAUGCAUAAUUGAUAGUGUUAGCAGAGCGCCUAGCCCUCCCUGCCAUUUUUGCCUGGAUCUGGGCAGAUACAAAUCCCGCUUUUCCCAGCCCCCUCCGCCAGACGAAAACGCGCAGCCCUGCAGGGCGCUCCGGGAAGAGCCGCCCCUCUUCCCAGCCCACCGCAGCCCUGCCCAGCCAGGAUUCUUUACGUCUGGUCUUUGUGGCAAAGUCGGUGCUGGCAGCCCACCGUCCACAGUGCUGACGCGGGGUAGGGUGGGGCGCCCUGCCACUCAAGCACCCCCACAGUCAGAUCCUGCCAUUCCUGACGGAUGGGGCACUGAAGCUGCUGGGGACAGAGACAGGGACAGGGAUGGUUACAAAACGUCUGCUCCUCUUGAACACUGUGGGCGAGGGAUGUAAAAUUUGAACAUUUCCACCCCCACCCCACACACCAGCCAGUAUCUUCACAGCCUUUCUAGUGCACACACACACACACACACACACACACACACACACACACACUGUCCCCCAAGCUGCAGUGGCAUUGCCACCGCCCCGCUGUCUCACACCCUCACACAACAGCUGGCCUCAGCAGACUUGGGACUUGCUGUUCCUGCUCUCCCUAACUGGCAAAACCCUGACACUUCACUUAGUGACAGGGAGGUGGAGACACAGGGAUAUCAAGGCAUUUGGCUGGACCCCGCUUUGGACCUUAGUGCUGCCUAUGUAGACAGAGACGGAGCCUACAAGGGACUGAGCUGCUGGCAAGAACCAGACAGAGGUUUGGGCUCAUGGAGAACCAGAGCCCCAGCCCCUUUCCCGUUUUGUAGGCAUCGGGAUUUUGGGGUGCACAUGGCCCCCAGCUCACAUCCAGGCAGGCAAUGGUCUCACUCAGCAGUCGAUGGCUGGUGUGUCUGGGGCCUCUGCAGAGAUCAAUAUCCCGAUUUGAAUGUUAAGCAUUUUAAUGAGCCCAGGAGGGAGUUGAGGCGAGGGACUGUGUGCAGCGUGCUGCAUCUAAAAAGACCACCCGGCUGGCUGGGGUUCUGUGGCUGCUUUGUAAAUUAAAUAUGAACAGACUGAGUGGGCACACUAGGAGUCCCACGCUGGCCCUAAUCCUUCAGUGGCAGCAAGAGAUCUGGUGAGCUGGGACCAACACAUCUCAAUCAGCCAAGUUCCGGACCCAGACUUCAAUAACAUGCUCAGCCCACCUAAGGGGAGGCCGCUGGGGCACCACCCUCAGAGAGAAGAUGUGGAGAAGGGCUGAAAGGUGAGAACACAGGACCGGCCCAGCCUGGGGACCCUGCAUCAGCCUCUAAUUUAGGCAUCAGACCUAAGGUUUGGCCCUGGCUGGGCCAGGGAAUGACUGGGCAUGCAUGGACACCUUUGUCUGCAGAGCUCGGGGUCAUCCUGGGUGAGUUGUCCUCUACUGGCAACCCAGAGAGAGUGGACCUAGGACCCCUCCCCACCAGAGGGAUCCAACGAGGCAAGUGCCCGGCAGUGGAACCAGGACUUUCUGAGGCUCAGGGUGGGCACAAAGGGUGGGGACGAGUGGGGAGGCUCCAGGCUAGGAACUCAAGGCCAGUGGGCCCUCUCCCUGGUUUUCACCUCCAUCUGGUUUUUUGUUUUCUUGGAGGAGGCCUGGACCAAGGGAGGCGUUGGAAGAGAGGGACGGGAAGACAGAAUUUGGGCGCUGGAUGGAGAAUGGGCUGCCAGCUCUCAGCUCCCAGCUCCCACGACCACGGGGGCCCUCUGCCAGCCUCUGGGGAGUCUCUCUGCGCCUCUUUUUUCUUGCUCUAUUGUUAGGGAUGCCGAAGUUGGGGAUUCUGUGGAGGAGACAGUGCCUCAGUCACAGGGGAGAGGUAGAUCUUGGCGCGGGGGCCUCCCUGGCGCUGGUGCCGAUCCCGGCAGCCCUGGAUAGCGCGCUCUCUAUAGCUGGCGCUUUUGUUCCCGAUCCUCCCCAGGGGGACAAACACCCCUUACCCCGCCUUUGACCUGCAGAGCCCUGUGCCUAUCCGGCGGGGCUGAAGCCCGAGUCGCCCGGGCGGGAGCCGCGACCCCCGGUUCCACCUGCAGACUGAGCUGGAAGGCAGCGCACACCCUCCUCGUGCGGGAGCCUUUGGGCUGCAGCGGCGAGCGAUGUUCGCGAGGAUACGGUUACUGCAGGCCGGAACCAGGACCCCACCCCGCUGCAGCCUGCACCGCCAAUCAUUAAAGAAACAGGCGUCAGUCAGCUGUGUGGACUCAGGGGUGGAGAAAGCGGAAAUCCAAAGUUCCAAAGCGUGAGAGGGCACAGGGCUACAAAUUCACAGCAGGGUAGCGAACUCGCUUGAGUGUUUCUCCAGGCUCAGUUUCCUAAACCCAGACAGACCCCGGGGCCGAUAGCCUGAGCUCAGGCCCGCUCCUCGCGGACUGACUUCUGAUUUCAACCUUGUGGACGCGUAAGGCUGCGAAGGUGCGAAGGGCUGAAAUCUGCAGGAUGUGACUUGCUAAAUCCUGGGCUCCGCGCGCGCUCAGGUUUCCGGCCAGCCCUGGCUCGCGAGCGCCCCCCCCCCCCCGGAAAACCGUCUUCCGGGGCUCAGAGGCGGGCGGGGAUCUGGAGAGCCUUUCGGUACCGGUGCACGCGCUACAGUGGGGCUCGCUCUCCCUGCCCAGUCAGCCUGCACCCCAGGAUCUGUAACCUCGCCUCCGAUUACAGGAAUGCAGUUUCGCGUGCGUGAUAUUCCCAGCUCGGAGAGCUUACGAGCGCCCCCUGACGGCUUCUUAAGAAAAAGCUCUCUGUGACCACACUGUCACCGUUAGGACGGGUUCUAGAAUCAGACUCUGUCGUGUAUGCCAGCUAUGCAGCCCUGGCUAAGUUACUUAACCUCUUUGUGCAUUAAGAAAAAAGGGGCAUAAAUUAUAGAAGCUACAUUCGGGGUCUUUUUUUUUACCGGUACCGGGGGAUCAAACUCACAACCACCUGCAUGCAAGGCAGGUGCUUAUGCCACUGAGCUAAACCCCCGACCCCUACGGUUGGCGUCUUUGUAAGGAUUUAGUCAGUCAAGGUAUGCAAGGUGCUUAGUGUAUGGCCCUUUGUGCUCAGAAUGGAAUUUGCUAGUAUUAUUACCUUGCAGAAUCGGGAGCAGGAAACUAGAAGUGCAGGUUGCACACCCCCUCAUGCUUCUGUCUUGCCUCUGGCAAGACGAGGACCUCAGCUCUGACCCCAGUGACCUGUCUUCACUACCCUCUGCACACAGAUGCCAUUGACACAGGCAGCAGUGAUAAGUAUUAUUAAUAAAUAAAAAUGGUUGCCAAGCAAGGUGGCACACACCUGUAUCCCAGCACUCAGGAGGCUGAGGCAGGAGGAUCUCUGCAAAUUUGAGACCAACUUGGGCUCCACAGUGAGUUCAAGGCCAGCCUUGAACACAGUGAGACCCUGUCUCAAAACAAGACCAAAAUAAUAACAGUAAGAGUAAAUAAUAAUUACAGUUAUUGUUUGUCAUGACUUCUAGUUUCAGGUACUUAAAUUUGUCACCCGCAGCCUUGUUUGCGAAGAGGACUUGCAGCUGCAGGCUUGGGGGGAAGGUUUUUAAUUAAAACCACGUUCUGUUUAAGUA